GGGGAUAUAGCUCAGUUGGUCGAGUGCUUGCCUCACACUCACAAGGCCCUAGGUUCAAUCCCCAGUACCACCA
This 73-nucleotide transfer RNA is filed under the name Ictidomys tridecemlineatus (thirteen-lined ground squirrel). RNAcentral describes it as "Spermophilus tridecemlineatus (thirteen-lined ground squirrel) tRNA". It matches the Rfam family "tRNA". From Rfam's summary of the family: Transfer RNA (tRNA) molecules are approximately 80 nucleotides in length. Their secondary structure includes four short double-helical elements and three loops (D, anti-codon, and T loops). Further hydrogen bonds mediate the characteristic L-shaped molecular structure. tRNAs have two regions of fundamental functional importance: the anti-codon, which is responsible for specific mRNA codon recognition, and the 3' end, to which the tRNAs corresponding amino acid is attached (by aminoacyl-tRNA synthetases). tRNAs cope with the degeneracy of the genetic code in two manners: having more than one tRNA (with a specific anti-codon) for a particular amino acid; and 'wobble' base-pairing, i.e. permitting non-standard base-pairing at the 3rd anti-codon position. The record is from Rfam by way of RNAcentral. Lineage: Eukaryota; Metazoa; Chordata; Mammalia; Rodentia; Sciuridae.